Non-coding RNA from Anopheles dirus, 46 nucleotides. Lineage: Eukaryota; Metazoa; Arthropoda; Insecta; Diptera; Culicidae. The record is from Rfam.
GCAACAGUCCUUUUCAGGACUACAGAUCGAUUUGAAAAAGAGUUAU